AGCGAACGCUGGCGGCAGGCUUAACACAUGCAAGUCGAACGGUCCUUCGGGAUAGUGGCGGACGGGUGAGUAACACGUGGGAACGUACCCUUAGGUUCGGAACAACACAGGGAAACUUGUGCUAAUACCGGAUAAGCCCUUCGGGGGAAAGAUUUAUCGCCUUUGGAGCGGCCCGCGUCUGAUUAGCUUGUUGGUGAGGUAAUGGCACACCAAGGCUACGAUCAGUAGCUGGUCUGAGAGGAUGGCCAGCCACACUGGGACUGAGACACGGCCGAAACUCCUACGGGAGGCAGCAGUGGGGAAUCUUGCGCAAUGGGCGAAAGCCUGACGCAGCCAUGCCGCGUGGAUGAUGAAGGUCUUAGGAUUGUAAAAUCCUUUCACCGGGGACGAUAAUGACGGUACCCGGAGAAGAAGCCCCGGCUAACUUCGUGCCAGCCGCCGCCGUAA
This 447-nucleotide ribosomal RNA is filed under the name uncultured bacterium. RNAcentral describes it as "partial 16S ribosomal RNA". It matches the Rfam family "Bacterial small subunit ribosomal RNA", at positions 29 to 523 of the family's 1533-position model. The record is from RNAcentral.